GAUGAACGCUGGCGGCGUGCUUAACACAUGCAAGUCGAACGGAAAGGCCCAAGCUUGCUUGGGUACUCGAGUGGCGAACGGGUGAGUAACACGUGGGUGAUCUGCCCUGCACUUCGGGAUAAGCCUGGGAAACUGGGUCUAAUACCGGAUAGGACGAUGGUUUGGAUGCCAUUGUGGAGAGUUUUUUCGGUGUGGGAUGAGCUCGCGGCCUAUCAGCUUGUUGGUGGGGUAAUGGCCUACCAAGGCGUCGACGGGUAGCCGGCCUGAGAGGGUGGACGGCCAAAUUGGGACUGAGAUAAGGCCCAGACUCCUACGGGAGGCAGCAGGGGGGAAUAUUGCACAAUGGGCGCAAGCCUGAUGCAGCGACGCCGCGUGGGGGAUGACGGCCUUCGGGUUGGAAACUCCUUUCGCUAGGGACGAAGCGUUUUUGUGACGGUACCUGGAGAAGAAGCACCGGCUAACUACGUG
Molecule: ribosomal RNA, 468 nt
Filed under: uncultured bacterium
Lineage: Bacteria
Description: partial 16S ribosomal RNA
Rfam family: Bacterial small subunit ribosomal RNA
Source: RNAcentral